AGCGAACGCUGGCGGCAGGCCUAACACAUGCAAGUCGAACGAACCUUUCGGGGUUAGUGGCGGACGGGUGAGUAACACGUGGGAACGUGCCUUUAGGUUCGGAAUAACUCAGUGAAACUUGUGCUAAUACCGAAUGUGCCCUUCGGGGGAAAGAUUUAUCGCCUUUAGAGCGGCCCGCGUCUGAUUAGCUAGUUGGUUGAGGUAAUGGCUCACCAAGGCGACGAUCAGUAGCUGGUCUGAGAGGAUGAUCAGCCACAUUGGGACUGAGACACGGACCAAACUCCUACGGGAGGCAGCAGUGGGGAAUCUUGCGCAAUGGGCGAAAGCCUGACGAAGCCAUGCCGCGUGAAUGAUGAAGGUCUUAGGAUUGUAAAAUUCUUUCACCGGGGACGAUAAUGACGGUACCCGGAGAAGAAGCCCCGGCUAACUUCGUG
Molecule: ribosomal RNA, 434 nt
Filed under: uncultured bacterium
Lineage: Bacteria
Description: partial 16S ribosomal RNA
Rfam family: Bacterial small subunit ribosomal RNA
Source: RNAcentral